GCCCCGCAGGUGAAGAUGGAGGCCAUCAAGAAGAAGAUGCAGAUGCUGAAGCUGGACAAGGAGAAUGCCUUGGACCGGGCUGAGCAGGCAGAGGCUGAGCAGAAGCAGGCAGAGGAGAGGAGCAAACAGCUGGAGGAUGAGCUGGCGGCCAUGCAGAAGAAGCUGAAGGGGACGGAGGACGAGCUGGACAAAUACUCAGAGGCCCUGAAAGAUGCCCAGGAGAAGCUGGAGCUGGCUGAGAAGAAGGCAGCAGAUGCUGAGGCAGAAGUUGCAUCCUUGAAUCGCCGUAUCCAGCUGGUAGAGGAGGAGUUGGACCGAGCCCAGGAGCGUCUUGCCACAGCUCUGCAGAAGCUGGAGGAGGCAGAGAAAGCUGCAGAUGAGAGUGAAAGAGGCAUGAAAGUGAUUGAAAACAGAGCCCUGAAGGAUGAAGAGAAGAUGGAACUGCAGGAGAUCCAGCUCAAGGAGGCCAAGCAUAUUGCAGAAGAGGCUGACAGGAAAUAUGAGGAGGUUGCCCGGAAACUGGUGAUCAUUGAAGGAGACUUGGAGCGCACUGAGGAGAGGGCUGAGCUUGCAGAGUCUAAAUGUUCCGAGCUGGAGGAGGAGCUGAAGAAUGUCACCAACAAUCUCAAGUCUCUUGAGGCUCAGGCUGAGAAGUACUCUCAAAAAGAGGAUAAAUAUGAAGAGGAGAUUAAGAUCCUGACAGACAAACUUAAAGAGGCGGAGACCCGUGCAGAAUUUGCUGAACGAUCAGUAGCCAAACUGGAGAAGACCAUUGAUGACUUGGAAGAGCGCCUGUACAGCCAGCUUGAGAAAAAUCGCCUGCUCUCUAACGAGCUGAAGUUAACGCUGCAUGAUCUGUGUGACUGAGAAGGUGGCCCACUAAUGACACUAAACAAGCUUAUUUGAGCACCAGGGCUGUGGACCACAGUGAAAUCUGAUCAUUCUUAACAGACUGGCAGAUUAGCAGAUUUUGUGCAAUUACUGCUAUUUAACGAGGCAGCUAAAGUCUAUCCUCUAAUGUACUUAUUUUUUUCAAAGGUAACCUGUUCUCCAUGCCUAACCCUCCCCAGGCGUGUAAUUCCUCCUGGUUCUGAUCAGUCUGGGCAGUCUCACUCCACUAGUGCCACAGGGAGUCCCUGGGGGCUGCUGCUCUGGCUCCCUCAUCCAACUGUGAUGUGGGGGCUGGCUACAUUGGAGACCAAUCUGUUAGAUGAGUUGAUGUAGAAGCUGCUUUUGACAAUAUCCGAUGUCUGUAAGUGCUGUGGCUGACCACCUUACUAUAUGCUGAAUGUCUGUAGGAUCUCCUGCUGCAUGGAUUGAUGGCUGUUUCUGAUGAUGAUAAACCACUGGCCUUGUGGUCUGUAAGACAAAAUGCAAACCUGUGCUGCUUGAAUAAAGCCAAGCUCCAUUCAGAAGGCCUGUGGAGAAGCCUGGUUACUGUUAAGACCACAUGGCCUGGGGUGUGGAGAGGCAUCUUGGGAGUGAGCUGCUGUUGUCCAAGGACUUACUGAGUUGGAGGCUGUGGCUGCAGCCACUGUAAUGGCAAGCAUGCGUAAGCUUGGAAAUACCCCCCCUUGAGAGCCUGCUUGGGAAAAGCCCACAGAUCCUGCAGUCCGUGUGUGUCUUGGGCAGAGCUGCCUCUGGAGUCUCUAGCAAGGUGCCAUGCCUUGCCCUCACUGCAUCACUUCUGGACUGCCCUGAAGGUCCAAGUAAUGCACACAAUUUCUCUUGCCACUCAGCAGUGAUUACACUUUAUGGAGACCCUAGGUUUGUGUACAGCAGUGGGGAUAAACUGAAAUCCACCAAAGAGGAGCAUCUCUGCACACAAAGAAUGCUGGACCAGACCCUGCUGGACCUGAACGACAUGUAAAGGAUCCCUGCCAUCGCCUCUGCCCCACCCAGCGACUCGCUGGGGGCCAGCCCAGCCAGAGCUGCCCUUUAACCCCAAGGGUUACCUUCUCUUGCCAAUUCAACCAAACCAACUUCUGCCAAGUCACCUGAGGGUUAAAGGUCACCAGGUUGGGCAGAGCCUUAAACAGCAUCAUUAAGGGAAAUACAAACCAAUGCAAUAAUGUCUGGAGAACGUGAGAGAUGUACACAUUUUGUAACUACCUUUUUUUGUAGCAACCAUUGUAAACAUUCCAAAUAACUCUGGGGCUCACAAGCUGCACCUAAAAGAAGCUAUUGGCUUUAAAAUUUGAUGUUGACCUCUUUAGCUCAUCAGCUCUGGUCCCCUUUGCCUUGCUGCCAGGGAGAAGCAGAGGUGGGACAGUUCUGGCUCUGGCUGUUAAGUUCAAGUCGCCUGGCUAGGAAUGCAGGGAGCCUUUCUGCUGGGCACUAAUGCAUCCUGUCAGAACAGGAACUCCUGCAGGAGCAGAUGGCCCAAAAAGGGACAUCCAGUUUCUCAGCUGUAAAGUUUCUCCUUGCAUGGUAGAGCCGUUGGAGCAAAGAGGAGAGUGCUUUCUUUUUCUAAAAGACCAAACCUGUUCUCUUUGAACACUCAUGAAUGGAAGAAUUAGUCACAGGGGCCUCUUGGCCCUGUGUGUGCCAGUCACACCCCUUUGGCCAUUGACUAGAGAAGCAGCCCUCUAACUCAUUGUUGCCACUGGGUUUGAAUCUGCCUUCACUAAGUGCUAUUGCACUGAGCUUUAUCACUCAUUGCUGAUAAAUUGUAACAGCUCAUCUAUAAAACUGCCUCUUGUGUGAAGAGCUUUGCUUAUACUGAGGGGAUCCCUUCAGUCCCCCUGUUACCCAGGAGUACUCUUAUUGUCUUGAAUCGGGUCCAAGCCACAUUGCAGUGCACUGUUGAAGUUCUGUUUGUGAGGCACAGUAGUGAGAUCUGCAAGAGGUUUGCAUCGUGUAGCUUAGGCUUGAGAGAGGCUUGUUGGUUGUGGUGGUUUUAGGGGCCAGUUAGAGGACAACCUCUAUCAAGUGUUUUGAUACUAAAAUUGACAAUUGUCUUUUGAAAUAAAAACCAUUCCCGCCA
Molecule: RNA transcript, 2986 nt
Organism: Caretta caretta (loggerhead turtle)
Lineage: Eukaryota; Metazoa; Chordata; Testudines; Cheloniidae
Gene: TPM3
Gene name: tropomyosin 3
Source: RefSeq, a predicted model, not a curated record